Molecule: ribosomal RNA, 233 nt
Filed under: uncultured bacterium
Lineage: Bacteria
Description: partial 16S ribosomal RNA
Rfam family: Bacterial small subunit ribosomal RNA
Source: RNAcentral
CGGCACGGGUGAGUAAUACAUCGGAACGUGUCUUCUAGUGGGGGAUAACUGCCCGAAAGGGCAGCUAAUACCGCAUGAGACCUGAGGGUGAAAGCGGGGGAUCGUAAGACCUCGCGCUGGAAGAGCGGCCGAUGCCCGAUUAGCUAGUUGGUGGGGUAAAGGCUCACCAAGGCGACGAUCGGUAGCUGGUCUGAGAGGACGACCAGCCACACUGGGACUGAGACACGGCCCAG